UACGUAGGUGGCAAGCGUUGUCCGGAUUUACUGGGCGUAAAGAGCGCGCAGGCGGUCGUUCAAGUCGCGUGUGAAAGCCCCCGGCUCAACUGGGGAGGGUCACGCGAUACUGAUCGACUCGAAGGCAGGAGAGGGUAGUGGAAUUCCCGGUGUAGUGGUGAAAUGCGUAGAUAUCGUGAGGAAGACCAGUGGCGAAGGCGGAUCUCUGGACAGUUCCUGACGCUGAGGCACGAAGGCCAGGGGAGCAAACGGG
Molecule: ribosomal RNA, 253 nt
Filed under: uncultured bacterium
Lineage: Bacteria
Description: partial 16S ribosomal RNA
Rfam family: Bacterial small subunit ribosomal RNA
Source: RNAcentral